ACUAUUUGGUCGAUAAGAUAGAAACCAUCGAGUGUGGAGCGGUCAUUCUUCCGGUUUUCGGCCGGUCUGCUUCUCGUCCGGCUCCGGUACGGCGACGGGUGCCUUCGUAUCCACAGUUUUUUGAUUUUCGGCAUACGGCCUCCCUCUGCCUCGGCUCCCGCGGCCGAGUUCGGAAGGGGCGGCCACGUUCCUGAAAUUCCCAGUGGCUCCGGAGCCGUGGAGCGAGCCAAGGAGCCUCCAGGAGAAACGCUUUAGGGAUAAAACACGCUGGUGGAACUGAGCGGUCUUCCCACAGUGCACCCCUGCCCGGCUACAACGUGAGACGCUGUCCAGAGAAACGGAUGUUGGGCUUCAGCCAAGAUGAGGUAACCGAAGCACUUUGUGGGAUGCACAUACUGGAACGACUUUGCGAUGGAAGAUGGGAUGUUCUCAAGAUUGUGUAUCCCUGGAGCCGUUAUGGGUUGGAAACGACUCGGCAUUUGAAGAAGAAGAACUGAGGCGCAGAGAAGGAUUGAUUGAUUGAUUGAAGGACGAGGAGGAAAACAGCAGGGCCAGGAACCCGAACAGUGAAUGGCCAGCAGUCAACCAGAAGUCGCCUCAGAAAAAUCAUGUUUUUUUUCCGUGUUCUCUGCUCUGAGCAAGGACGUUUUGGGCUGGCAAUAGUAGAAAUCGAGUCUCCUUGAAGUCGGUGACCUGAGGGUCGGUGGAAGACAGGUCUAAUCUUCUCUAAACCCGAGAAGAUCGCUCACUGGCUCCCGAGUGGAGAAUUGAAGCUAAAUAAUCCCUGGGAUUGCCCAUUUCUCCGUAAUAUUUUAAGACUUUUCCCCCCUUUCAAGGGAAUUUCCAUUUUGCCUCUUGUACCAAAUGGAGAAGAGCAGGCCCCAUUUGGCUAACUGUCCCACUACAUGUCUGAUUGGCUGUUCAUGAAAUCGGUCAAAAUGCCCAACUCCCAUUUCCCAAAUAUGCCAAGGUAUGUAAAACUAAAAGGUGAAAACUUUUUUUUUUAAAACAAAAUUUGUUGUAAAGUCUGGGCAAGAGGGAAUAUCAUGUGAACAUUGUAAUAACUCACAAAAUUAUCAUUAUAAUUAGGGUUUAACGGGGAGAGUGAAGGGGCUGGAAAGGAAGAAGUCACCCAGAGAGAUGGGGGUAAUUGCCUCAUAAAUAUUUACAAGUUGUGAUUACCCAUUCCACUACUUCAGGUUUUUCUUGUGAAUGAAACACAUCCACUGUUUAUAUCCUGCUGAGGAAAUUGGUGACACUAAUGCAAAGAGAGGAGCCAAGGAUUCCAGAAAUAAAUGUUUCCAUCCUGUUCCCAAAGAAUGAAUCACUUGUGCAUUGAAAUAUUCCAUUUUUCCAUUUUUGCAAGCCCGACACCUCUAAUUCCUGCUUUUACUGAUUUAGCAAGAAACCAUUAAUGAACUUUGAGCCAUAAAAAGGAAGAAUUGUAAGCAGGCCACUCAUUUUAAGCCACAAAGAAUUUCUUUGUAUUUUUUCCCCCCGAGGAAUUGUCAUUAGAAUUCAGUUUCAAUUCUUAGACCGACAUGGGAUUAUGUCCUUAAAGUGCUUAUUUCUUGUAUGUGGAAUUUGUGAAAAAAAUACAUUCUGUAAAUGAUUAAAGUCAAGUUCUCAUGGACUAGAUUGCAUA
Molecule: long non-coding RNA, 1645 nt
Organism: Ornithorhynchus anatinus (platypus)
Lineage: Eukaryota; Metazoa; Chordata; Mammalia; Monotremata; Ornithorhynchidae
Exons: 4
Source: RefSeq, a predicted model, not a curated record